Molecule: transfer RNA, 75 nt
Filed under: Nitrososphaerota archaeon
Lineage: Archaea; Thermoproteati; Nitrososphaerota
Description: Thaumarchaeota archaeon tRNA-Val
Rfam family: tRNA
About the family: Transfer RNA (tRNA) molecules are approximately 80 nucleotides in length. Their secondary structure includes four short double-helical elements and three loops (D, anti-codon, and T loops). Further hydrogen bonds mediate the characteristic L-shaped molecular structure. tRNAs have two regions of fundamental functional importance: the anti-codon, which is responsible for specific mRNA codon recognition, and the 3' end, to which the tRNAs corresponding amino acid is attached (by aminoacyl-tRNA synthetases). tRNAs cope with the degeneracy of the genetic code in two manners: having more than one tRNA (with a specific anti-codon) for a particular amino acid; and 'wobble' base-pairing, i.e. permitting non-standard base-pairing at the 3rd anti-codon position.
Source: RNAcentral
GGGCCAGUGGUCUAGCCUGGUCAUGACGUCGCUCUUACACAGCGAAAGUCGGCGGUUCGAAUCCGCCCUGGCCCA